AUGAGCGUGUGGGAGGGACCUUAGGCGCCAUCAGGCUUCGAUCCACCUGAGGGCUCAAAGGCUUCGUCGAAUGAAGAUCAUGAGGCUUGUGCUUCCUCUCAAGCUUGCCUUGGAAUUGUACUGGAUGGAGGAGGCAAGGUUGAGAAGAGAGGCAGUGGUAACGUAUGCGGAGUUCUAAAGAGGAGGCAUUGAAAGAGUCAACGUUUUGGCGGGGAGGGA
This 219-nucleotide long non-coding RNA is filed under the name Elaeis guineensis (African oil palm). RNAcentral's name for it is "long non-coding RNA (EGUI_LNC006233)". Lineage: Eukaryota; Viridiplantae; Streptophyta; Magnoliopsida; Arecales; Arecaceae. The record is from RNAcentral.